RNAcentral lists this ribosomal RNA (636 nucleotides) under uncultured bacterium. RNAcentral describes it as "bacterial SSU rRNA". The stretch from base 1 to 534 matches the Rfam family "Bacterial small subunit ribosomal RNA", at positions 338 to 873 of the family's 1533-position model. The record is from RNAcentral.
CCUACGGGAGGCAGCAGUGAGGAAUAUUGGACAAUGGGCGCAAGCCUGAUCCAGCCAUGCCGCGUGCAGGAAGACGGUCCUAUGGAUUGUAAACUGCUUUUGUACAGGAAGAAACACUCCCUCGUGAGGGAGCUUGACGGUACUGUAAGAAUAAGGAUCGGCUAACUCCGUGCCAGCAGCCGCGGUAAUACGGAGGAUCCAAGCGUUAUCCGGAAUCAUUGGGUUUAAAGGGUCCGUAGGCGGUUUAAUAAGUCAGUGGUGAAAUCUGGUCGCUCAACGAUCAAACGGCCAUUGAUACUGUUAGACUUGAAUUAUUAGGAAGUAACUAGAAUAUGUAGUGUAGCGGUGAAAUGCUUAGAUAUUACAUGGAAUACCAAUUGCGAAGGCAGGUUACUACUAAUGGAUUGACGCUGAUGGACGAAAGCGUGGGGAGCGAACAGGAUUAGAUACCCUGGUAGUCCACGCCGUAAACGAUGGAUACUAGCUGUUCGGAGCAAUCUGAGUGNGUAGAGAAGUAGAGUAAGUAGUACCACCGUCGGGAGGUAACGGUUCGUCGAAGAAGUAGUUAAACGUUAACGUAAAUUAGAGUUAGACGGACGUUGAGACGUUGCCGACGGACGACGACGAGGGAGGAGG